RNAcentral lists this ribosomal RNA (375 nucleotides) under uncultured organism. RNAcentral's name for it is "bacterial SSU rRNA". It matches the Rfam family "Archaeal small subunit ribosomal RNA", at positions 476 to 851 of the family's 1478-position model. The record is from RNAcentral.
CCAGCACCCCGAGUGGUCGGGACGAUUAUUGGGCCUAAAGCAUCCGUAGCCGGUUUUACAAGUCCUCCGUUAAAUCCGACUGCUUAACAGAUGGGCCGCGGAGGAUACUAUAAGACUAGGAGGCAGGAGAGGCAAGCGGUACUCAGUGGGUAGGGGUAAAAUCCGUUGAUCCAUUGAAGACCACCAGUGGCGAAGGCGGCUUGCCAGAAUGCGCUCGACGGUGAGGGAUGAAAGCUGGGGGAGCAAACCGGAUUAGAUACCCGGGUAGUCCCAGCUGUAAACGAUGCAGACUCGGUGAUGGACUAGCUUCAUGCUAGUCCAGUGCCGCAGGGAAGCCGUUAAGUCUGCCGCCUGGGUAGUACGGUCGCAAGACUG